CUCCGGCCGCAUCCUCCACCGCUUUUGCUAGGUGGAGGCCGAUUCGCCAACUCAGACUGCAAUGAGCCGUGCUGGGGCCCAGGACAUCUUCCAGGUUUCCUCGCCUCUCCCAGGAGUCACACUGCCUUCUGCUGACACACGCUUCCUUUGUGUUAUGCCUGGCUAAUAUAUUAAUGGGGCGGAUAACCCAGAUCCUUGGAGUAGGGGGGGAGGAGGAGGCUGUAGAUGGAGAGGGAGAAGGGAAUGACACAGCUUUCUGGCUGCUGACCCUCGAGCCAAAGAGCUCAGAGGCGGGGCAGGACGGGGGUAGCGAAUCGAGGUAGGGAAAUUUCACCAUGAGGACGCCCAAAGUUAACUUAAACACCUGCAACAAGUUUUAAAGAAAGGUGACCUGAUGCUAAUGUGCCGUCGUGUGCUCAGAGCUGCGAGGCCAGAGCCGGCGACAGCCCAGGACCCGGCCCCUCCGCCGAGCGGCCGCGCGCCCGCGGCUGUCUCCGCCUCCCACCCCACCCCCGGCCGAGCGCCGCCGCCAGAGUCCCAGGUGAGCGUUCCAGCUCCGAGUCCUAGCAGUGCCCCUUGAGUCCUACCUAGUCCUCAAGCUCUAGCCAAGUCCGCCACCUUAGAUACUGGGUCCCAGUGGUUAAAAAUAAAGAAUUCACUCAGCCCGGCAACCUGCCCUCGGAGAGACCCCGGCCUCCCCCCAACCCCAGCGGGCAGUCUGGCCUCCCGGUGGAGGUUUGGGCCGAUCAGCCUUGGCGGGCACCCUGCGCUCCGCCAAGGGGUGUGAAGAGGCCUGGGGCCUGGGGUCCCGAUGCUGGGUGAGGACCUGGUCGCCCGUCCCGGCCUCUCGGCGGAGCGCCCUCCCCGCCGGGCCUGCGGCCUCGCCUGCCAGACGGUGCCAGGGCGCCCGGAGACAUAUGCUGCCCGCAGGCCGCGCGGCCCGACGUGCUGCUCAUUGCCGAGGCGGUUCUCAGAGCAUCAAAAGCCAGGGCUUUCUUCAGCCGUAUGGGCCGCGAGCCAUCUCCCGAGGGCGGCCCCCGCGGGCUGGGUGUUUACUCGCCUGACUCCCAGCCUUCAGCUUCGAGGCAGGCCCCGAAGUGCCCGCGCGAGGGCCAGUAAGGCCGCCCUGCGCCCCCGGCUGAGCACGCUGGGCUCUAGACACCUCGACCGCGCCGCCCAAUGUGCCCUGGGCUUGGAGCCAGCUUCACUCUCAACCUAGCUCCGGGAAUCAAUCACGACUUCCUCAACCUUGAAGCAAUCCACUGUUGACCAUCAGAGAAUCAGACAUGCCAUGGGAGGUAUAUAGAGAGAUCUGGAGAGAUAUCUAGACAUGUUUACACUAAUGGAUUUUCUGACUUAGAGGAGCUUCUACCAGACCUUCCCAUCUAGAGAAUGUUCUCAAAGCAAGAAAGCAACCAAUUGUGUGAUCUGCUGAUUUGGGAGCAGCAUCCUGAAUAUAACUUGCAUUAAACCACAUAUUUACCUUUGUGAAGUCUUUACAGUUUUCAUUUGCCUCAAAAAGGAUGUAAA
Otolemur garnettii (small-eared galago) is the source of this 1530-nucleotide long non-coding RNA. RefSeq lists it as uncharacterized. The record is from RefSeq and is a predicted model, not a curated record. Lineage: Eukaryota; Metazoa; Chordata; Mammalia; Primates; Galagidae. The transcript has 4 exons.